GGGGUGACGGGAGUUUGUCCCCUCAGGUGAUGGGCCGGAAGGGCCUGAUGGGGUGACAGGGGGGUGACAGGGCCGUGUCCCCUCAGGUUAUGGACCGGAAGGGGCCCGUGACGGAGGCCCAGGGGGUGGAGGUGGCCCUGAGGUGACAGGGGGGUGACAGGAGUUUGUCCCCUCAGGUGAUGGGCCGGAAGGGCCCGGUUGUGGAGGCCCAGGGGGUGGAGGUGUCCCUGGGGUGACAGGAGUAGGUGACAGGGGGGUGACAGGAGUUUGUCCCCUCAGGUGAUGGGCCUCAAAGGCCCGGUGACAAAGGCCCAGGGGGUGGAGGUGGCCCUGGGGUGACAGGAGUAGGUGACAGGGGGGUGACAGGGCCGUGUCCCCUCAGGUGAUGGGCUGGAAGGGCCCGGUGACGGAGGCCCAGGGGGUGGAGGUGGCCCUGGGGUGACAGGGGUGUGUCGUGAGGUGACAGGGGGGUGACAGGAGUUUGUCCCCUCAGGUGAUGGGCCGGAAGGGCCCGGUGACAGAAGCCCAGGGGGUGGAGGUGG
Lepidothrix coronata (blue-crowned manakin) is the source of this 542-nucleotide long non-coding RNA. RefSeq lists it as uncharacterized. The record is from RefSeq and is a predicted model, not a curated record. NCBI's taxonomy places the organism in Eukaryota, Metazoa, Chordata, Aves, Passeriformes, Pipridae. The transcript has 3 exons.